CCUACGGGAGGCUGCAGUGAGGAAUAUUGGUCAAUGGACGAGAGUCUGAACCAGCCAAGUAGCGUGAAUGAUGACUGCCCUAUGGGUUGUAAACUUCUUUUAUAAAGGAAUAAAACGAGGCACGUGUGCCUUUUUGCAUGUACUUUAUGAAUAAGGAUCGGCUAACUCCGUGCCAGCAGCCGCGGUAAUACGUAGGAUCCGAGCGUUAUCCGGAUUUACUGGGUUUAAAGGGAGCGUAGAUGGGUUGUUAAGUCAGUUGUGAAAGUUUGCGGCUCAACCGUAAAACUGCACUUGAUACUGGCAGUCUUGAGUACAGGUGAGGUAGGCGGAAUUCGUGGUGUAGCGGUGAAAUGCGUAGAUAUCACGAAGAACACCGAUUGCGAAGGCAGCUUACUAAACUGUGACUGACAUUGAUGCUCGAAAGUGUGGGGAUCAAACAGGAUUAGAUACCCGUGUAGUC
RNAcentral lists this ribosomal RNA (460 nucleotides) under uncultured bacterium. Its description in RNAcentral is "partial 16S ribosomal RNA". It matches the Rfam family "Bacterial small subunit ribosomal RNA", at positions 338 to 795 of the family's 1533-position model. The record is from RNAcentral.